Molecule: long non-coding RNA, 791 nt
Organism: Onychostoma macrolepis
Lineage: Eukaryota; Metazoa; Chordata; Actinopteri; Cypriniformes; Cyprinidae
Exons: 3
Source: RefSeq, a predicted model, not a curated record
UGCAGUGUGGUAGCGGGAGGAGAAGGCGGGGUUUUCCCGAGAGUGGCCUUGCUGAUCUGUGUUGAGCACACGCGAGUUGGGAAAUGUUACGGUUUACUCAUAGGAAAAAAGGGGAAUUCCCCAUUGCAGUUUCAGAGCGUCGCUGUUCAGCUGUUGGAUUGGCUGGUGAUUGGUUGGAUUUUCACGUUUCUCUGAGUGCGGGGAAUGUUUGUGUGGUGGGACCGUGUACUUCACAGUGACGGAGAUUGAGCAGGGGAGAGCGAGUGCACGUGUGGACACGCGUGAGCAACGGCUCAGUGGAUCUCUUAGUGCAGUUCAUCGUUCAACCAAAAGCAUCAUAAACCACUACCGUUGUUUAUCAGGGUAUUAACAAGAAAACUUGUACUUGUGUAUUUCGUUUACAUUUAUAUACUGUCGUAUGAAUUGUAAAGGGAGACUGUAUAAAAGGGGGAAAGAAAAACGCAGCAAACUCCUUGUUGGACAAUCGGGUUUCUUUAAUUGUUUUUUCUCAGUAUAUGUUUCAUUUCUGGAUCUUGCCUAUAAGUGGAAAUCUCUGUCAUUAAUGCCACAGUCUUUGUAUACGUGGUCACAAAUAAAGAACCCUUUUCGUUAUAGAUGUCUGAUGUUAUUUGAUUUACUCCUGGAGUAAGUACAUUAUCCCGGUCACAUCUUUUUGGUACCAGAAGUGGGGUUAAUUGGCUCAGUAGGUUUCCUUUGGUGGGGAGUACAAUUUGUUUUCUUUUAAACAAACGAAGAGAAAAAUGUAAUACCCUGUUAGCUAAGUGGAAGUA